CGGAGCGUAGCGCAGCCCGGUAGCGCACCGGUCUGGGGGACCGGGGGUCGCAGGUUCGAAUCCUGCCGUUCCGACCA
Molecule: transfer RNA, 77 nt
Filed under: Henriciella sp.
Lineage: Bacteria; Pseudomonadati; Pseudomonadota; Alphaproteobacteria; Hyphomonadales; Hyphomonadaceae
Also listed under: 3 other names
Description: tRNA-Pro
Rfam family: tRNA
About the family: Transfer RNA (tRNA) molecules are approximately 80 nucleotides in length. Their secondary structure includes four short double-helical elements and three loops (D, anti-codon, and T loops). Further hydrogen bonds mediate the characteristic L-shaped molecular structure. tRNAs have two regions of fundamental functional importance: the anti-codon, which is responsible for specific mRNA codon recognition, and the 3' end, to which the tRNAs corresponding amino acid is attached (by aminoacyl-tRNA synthetases). tRNAs cope with the degeneracy of the genetic code in two manners: having more than one tRNA (with a specific anti-codon) for a particular amino acid; and 'wobble' base-pairing, i.e. permitting non-standard base-pairing at the 3rd anti-codon position.
Source: RNAcentral